Molecule: long non-coding RNA, 1269 nt
Organism: Rosa chinensis
Lineage: Eukaryota; Viridiplantae; Streptophyta; Magnoliopsida; Rosales; Rosaceae
Exons: 3
Source: RefSeq, a predicted model, not a curated record
GGAACCACAUCGUCCGGCCACCGCCUCACAUCACCGCUACCACCAAUCGAAGCAGCACCUCAAUCCAACCUAAACCCAUAAGAGAUCGAAGCCAUGCAUCGACCCGGCCUCUCUCUUCCGCUAUCCUUCUCUCUGCCACCAUCGGAGACUCCAUCUCCGGCCACCAUCUCCCCACACCGUCUUCACCAAUCGACGCAGCAUCCAAAACCAACCCAAGCCCGAGCCUUAACGUCGAAAUACAUCGCCGGCAGCCUCUACCCGUGACCACCCAAGGCUGCGACACUGCUGCCACUCAACCUCCAUCAAUUUCUGGCCGCCUUUUCAAUACACCGUAGCCUCCUGUGAGCUCAGGGAGCGCCGACCAUCAAGCCCCCGACAUCCCAUCGCCAGAAGACAUCGAACACACAUCGCCGGAAACCGAGCUCUGCAUGCCUUCGUUCUCUAAUCUCCAACGCGAAUCGUGCUAAACCACCUCCAUGGUUGGAAUCAGCGUCUCACGUUUUCCAAAAGUCCAAACACCCGACCUCCGAUUCCGACCAGAGCCGCCACACGCGCCGCCGGCGCCGGCGCGUGAGAAACCUUGAUGCCGCCGUGAACUCUGCCGGCGUAGUCCUCUUGUUCUGGUAAGCCGUUUUCAAAGCCCCCUUUCGUUAUUUGGUUGAGUUUCAGUUCCAAAGUAGUGGAUUGCUGAUGUUCAAAUCUUUUGGUUGAUGUUCUUGAAUUCGGGACUUGGAGGAUGGGAAUUGAUAUGAGAGGGGAGCUUCUGGUCUUGGUAUCGAUUUCAGUUUUGGUGGGAUGGUGAAGAAUACAGAAGGACUGCAAGAAGCGGUACGUUAUGGAGUUUAUGGUUUCGGCAGAACUAAAAAUGGUUGUUGUUCUGUUGUGGAGAUGGAGACUUGAGGUUCUUGGAUUCCUGCAAUUUGGAGUAUCGGAGAAGAUGAGCUACAGGGGUAGCUUUGGUUGAAAUCGAAUAAGAGGUCCGAAUGGGUUGAUAGUGAUGGACUGCAGCAACUAGAAAUAGCCUCUGGCUGGGGAAAAGAAGAAUGGUAAGGGACUGUGUAUUUUGGAAACUGUUUGGCCGUGUACUGUUUGUACUGAUCAAAGUUAUGGUUUUAUUGAGUAUGCGUGAUAUAAAUUUGGUUAUGGUAAUUGAGUGAUUGGUUAUGUUGGAAAUGUCAUUGUUAUAAGGUGAAUGACUAAAUCAGUGAGCUCUUUAAAGAAGUUGUAAAUUGCAAGUUAAAUCGUUGUUGUGAAAGAAAAUGUUGAGCA